AGUGAACGCUGGCGGUAGGCCUAACACAUGCAAGUCGAACGGCAGCACAGUAAGAGCUUGCUCUUACGGGUGGCGAGUGGCGGACGGGUGAGGAAUACAUCGGAAUCUACUUUUUCGUGGGGGAUAACGUAGGGAAACUUACGCUAAUACCGCAUACGACCUACGGGUGAAAGCAGGGGAUCUUCUGACCUUGCGCGAUUGAAUGAGCCGAUGUCGGAUUAGCUAGUUGGCGGGGUAAAGGCCCACCAAGGCGACGAUCCGUAGCUGGUCUGAGAGGAUGAUCAGCCACACUGGAACUGAGACACGGUCCAGACUCCUACGGGAGGCAGCAGUGGGGAAUAUUAGGCAAUGGGCGCGAGCCUGAUCCAGCCAUACCGCGUGGGUGAAGAAGGCCUUCGGGUUGUAAAGCCCUUUUGUUGGGAGAGAAAAGCAGCAGGUUAAUACCCCGCUGUUCUGACGGUACCCAAAGAAUAAGCACCGGCUAACUUCGUG
RNAcentral lists this ribosomal RNA (492 nucleotides) under uncultured bacterium. RNAcentral describes it as "partial 16S ribosomal RNA". It matches the Rfam family "Bacterial small subunit ribosomal RNA", at positions 29 to 507 of the family's 1533-position model. The record is from RNAcentral.